RNAcentral lists this ribosomal RNA (372 nucleotides) under uncultured bacterium. RNAcentral describes it as "bacterial SSU rRNA". It matches the Rfam family "Bacterial small subunit ribosomal RNA", at positions 525 to 896 of the family's 1533-position model. The record is from RNAcentral.
ACAGAGGGUGCGAGCGUUAAUCGGAAUUACUGGGCGUAAAGCGCGCGUAGACGGUUUUGUAAGUCAGAUGUGAAAUCCCCGGGCUCAACCUGGGAACUGCAUUUGAAACUGCAUGGCUAGAGUACGGUAGAGGGAAGCGGAAUUUCAGGUGUAGCGGUGAAAUGCGUAGAUAUCUGAAGGAACACCAGUGGCGAAAGCGGCUUCCUGGACCAGUACUGACGUUCAUGUGCGAAAGCGUGGGGAGCAAACAGGAUUAGAUACCCUGGUAGUCCACGCCAUAAACGAUGACAACUAGAUGUCGGGAGGGUCUGCCUCUCGGUGUCGCAGCUAACGCGUUAAGUUGUCCGCCUGGGGAGUACGGCCGCAAGGUUG